GAUGAACGCUAGCUACAGGCUUAACACAUGCAAGUCGAGGGACCGGCGCACGGGUGAGUAACACGUAUCCAACCUGCCCUUUACUCGGGGAUAGCCUUUCGAAAGUAAGAUUAAUACCCGAUAUAAAGGAUGGGGAUGCGUUCCAUUAUGUUGUUGGUGAGGUAACGGCUCACCAAGCCUUCGAUGGAGAGGGGUUCUGAGAGGAAGGUACCCCAGAUUGGAACUGAGACUCGGUCCAAACGCCUACGGGAGGCAGCAGUGAGGAAUAUUGGUCAAUGGGCGUUAGCCCUAACCAGCCAAGUAACGUGAAGGAUGAAGGCUUAUAGGUCGUAAACUUCAUUUAUAUAAGAAUAUGUAUUAUAAGAAUAAGGAACGACUAGCUCCGUGACAGCAGCCGCGGUAAUUC
Molecule: ribosomal RNA, 406 nt
Filed under: uncultured bacterium
Lineage: Bacteria
Description: partial 16S ribosomal RNA
Rfam family: Bacterial small subunit ribosomal RNA
Source: RNAcentral